Long non-coding RNA from Catharus ustulatus (Swainson's thrush), 867 nucleotides. RefSeq lists it as uncharacterized. Lineage: Eukaryota; Metazoa; Chordata; Aves; Passeriformes; Turdidae. The transcript has 4 exons. The record is from RefSeq and is a predicted model, not a curated record.
CCCAAAACACUAACCCCCCUGCUCCAACACCUUAAUAUUAAUAAAAUAAGCCACUAAAACCAAAGGUGCUAAAGUCGCUUGGCAUUUGAGCUAUGAAUGGAAUCUGCUCGCCAGUGCUCCUUGCAGUGAAAAAAACCCUUUCCUGAAUAAUUAACUCAGCUGAAGAAGCUUAUAAAUUCUUUGAAAUAUCUGGGACCAGUGAAGGAUGUGGUGACAAUAUUUACGUACGUGUCCCUUACUAAUGGUGUCCGAAGGUGACCACAUUACUCACCCCUCUGCAGAUGAGCUCCAGGUGUCACAUACUGACAGGUGCUGCUCUGAAGGAGCCCGGAACCUGAUUUUCUCGACUUCCACUGGAUCACUGAUGGCUCCUGGCACUUCAGGCAAUCAGAUUUCAGGUGUCCCAAAGCAGGAAAAGCACUGAUCCCUCUAGAAGAAGCUGAUCUGCUUCAUGCACACCUUUGCUAUCUCCAGAAACCAUCAGAGCUGGACAAGACAGAUUUGUCACUGGUUACAAUGCAGACCCUCCCAUGCAGAUAAAACAAAUUCCACACUUCCCUUCCCUGCUGCAAAAUAAAUCUGUUGCUGCAAGACUCUGCACUUUCUCCCCAUGCCCACUGCCAUUUGCACACCAGGCUUAGCAGGAAUAGCUCAUGGGGAAGAACAACUCCCUUCCUUUCUUCUGGAAUUAAUUUCCAACAAACUGGCAUUUUCAAUUUUUUGAUAGCAAAGCCUAAAAGGAAUAUGUCUUCAGUGUGGCCUCAGUGCAAUCCAAUGGCAUUGUAAAUCUAUCAAAACCACCUAGACUGUCACUUGUAAUUUUCUGUGUUCACAGGAAAAUAAAAUUAUAUGGUAAGAUAAACUGAA